Long non-coding RNA from Felis catus (domestic cat), 3594 nucleotides. RefSeq lists it as uncharacterized. Lineage: Eukaryota; Metazoa; Chordata; Mammalia; Carnivora; Felidae. The transcript has 4 exons. The record is from RefSeq and is a predicted model, not a curated record.
GAGGCUUCUGUGGUGCACUGAUGUGUAACUGGUGAUUAGUCCGUCGGGUGGUGGUUGAGGAGCUAGAAGGCGCGGGAUUUGGGGCCGUUUCCCGCAGAGAGCAGCCGGCGAUGAUGAAAACAUCACUUGGGAAAUGUGUUUACAGAUCGCUUUCCAAAGGUUGAAUUAAAACCAUAUUUUGAAAAAUCUGAAAAUAGAAAAGUAAAUGCGUUACAGCAAGCAAGACGUGAGCUCGGGAAGCGCUGCUAGCUGACCCAAGAAGUUUAGGAAUGGACUGCUUCAUAUUCCUCACUGGCUGUGAUCUGACGCUCGUUGAGGUGUCCAACGUGGGAGGAGGCGUGGAGGCCCGGCACACCUGUGGGCAGAGAAGGUGAAGAGGGCUGGUGAGUACCCCGCUCCCAGGCAGCAAUCCUGGCCCAAGCCCUGAGGUUGCGGGGUUGGCCUUUGAGGCCCCAUUACUACCUCCCCCAUUUAUUUAUUUAUCAUUUUAUUUAUCCGUCCAUUUGUGGGACAGCCCAGAGUAAUGGGUAAGAGCCAGGCUGCCUGGGUUUGAAUCCCGCACUGUCACUUAUCAGUGGCAUGGCCUUGGAGAAAUUGAUCUCUGUGCCUCAGUUUCCUCGUCCGUAAAAUGGAGAUAAUAGUACCUAUCUCCUAGGUAUGUUAUGAAGUUUAAAUCAGCUAGUCUAUGCAAAACCCUUAUAAUUGAGCCUGACAUAUGGCAGGCAUAAUAUGAAUAUUCAUUACUAUCACCAUAGUUACUAUAAUUUAGAUAUUCCACUAGGGCUUUUUGGGGAGGAAUUCUCAUCUCACAUUUCCAUUCUUCUCUAUGGGGUCCUCCUGAACCCACAGAAUUUUCUGUGACGGAGGCACAGCUGUGUCUGCCCAUCUUCCCGCCCCCAACUCCCACCUUCCCUGAGGGUCAGGACACUUUCUGAGAUAGAGUGGCCAGGGCUAGUCUUGGGAAUGAAUAAACCUAAGUUCCCAUCCCUGCUUUGCCCCUACCUGGCUGUGUGGACCUUCAGCAAAUCACUUAACCUCUCUGAGCCUCUUUUGUGAGCUGGCUUUUUGGUGAUAAUGAGGACCCAAAGAGAUAACGGACGUGAAGCCCUUAGCAGGUGCCUUCCCUGGCCGGGCCCCAGGAGUGUCUAGAAGCUCACCAGGAUUGAAGAGGAUGGUCUCUUUCAGGUAGGCAUAUUCCUUGGGGCCCAGCUGCAGGCUCCAGAAGGACUCCAGGCAGCACUGAAGCCACUGUACCGCAGCCAGCGAGGGCUGGGGUCGAUCUGGCAGCUGGCCGCUGCCUGAGCUGCUGCUGGGCUCCUCCAGCAAGAUCUUCUUGAGUAUGCUGGGAACUGGUGCCUCGGCCACCUCGAAAGUCACAGUGUCUUGGGCCAACCCCAGCAGGAAGAGGGGGCCCCAGCAGCCCCGCAGCAGCCGCUGCUGAUCCUGGGGGGGCAGCUGGCAGAAGGACGGCAGGUUCCUGAGGAAGACCACUGUUCUGGCCAGAACAUCCAAGGCUUCCCGGCAGGUGCGAUGGGGAGCACACAGCCGGACAGGCCGGUGCUGCCUGCACAGGCAAUGACUACGGGCUGGGGGCACAGAGGGCCUGGCCCUGAGGCUAGGGCUCAGAAGUGCGUACAGAAUGGCCGGGCGGCCUGCAGCACCCCGACACGAGCAGGUCCCUGGCUGGCUCGAACUCAUGGUUGGGGAUCUGCUCCUCCUUCCUCCCAGCUCUCCCGCCCUCUGCUCUGCGCUGUGGGUGCUAUUUAUAACCCCAGUGGGAGGGAGGGGGGAACAGCCUGACAACCUUGACUCCAGAAGUCAUGUUCAUUGAAAAAAAAAGAAACACUGCACUGACCCUGCAGGAUUGGCGGGGCAGUGGUGGGGGAGGGGGCUUUGGGAGCUCCACGUGGCCCUGAUAUCACUUUAGUCAAUGAAGCAGCCUAUGCAGGGUACAGGACUGCCUGCUCGCUGGCCCGACUGCCCCUUAUCGGAUGACUCAAGUGGAUAAACAAGGUCAUUAACCCAGGCUGUACCAGGGCACCAAGGCCUCAGGUGCACCAUCAGCAGGUGGUCAUGGCAGGUUUCCCUAUUGGUGCCUGUAGGACUCUCACUAAGCUGGGAAGCCAACCCCAGAGCUGGACAAGCCUUGAAUGCAAGGCCCAACCUGGAAGUGCCUUAUCACUGACUUGUUUGCCUAACCUUGGGGCUUUGCUCCUGUUGUUGGUAAGGAACAGGCUGCAGGGAAGGGAGCCAGGACCCUGGGGGGCUGGGAGGACUUUGCCCACUGUGCACACUAGGAGGCCUCCCUCCUCCGACUCCAGUUCUGGGGGGGUGGGCCCUGCAGAAAUAAGGUCCUGAAGAACUCUCUCUCCUCAGCCUGGAUUCCUAAAGCUCCCGAAAGGCUGUGUCUGCUGAGAAGCCCUCCCGGAACGAGAUUGAAAUAUGGCUGCUACUUACUGAGCACCUCCUGUGGGCCAAGAACUUUCCAGUCUAAUAUUAGAGCUUGCCUAUGAGGCAAGAUUCUUACUUUUUGAAACUCAAAGAGGUGAAGUGACUUGCCCAAAGUCACACCACCAAGAAGAGACAGAGCCCAGAUCUGUCUGACUCCAAAGUCCUCGCUUGUUCCCCUGGAUCCGCUGGCCCAGUUGUUCAGCCAGAUCUGUGUAGCCUAAGUUUUCCAGAGCUGGUGGCUACCCGGGUCUCCACCUUGCGGCUACCUGGUCCACAGAUAUUGCCGAUUUAUGAACCGGGCAGAAACGCUGCUCUGCCGCCAGCCACGUGGCAACUCUGUCCCGGGCAUCUGUCUCAGGACGGUGGGGCAUGGGGUCGAGGAGAGGGUGGGAAGGUCCUCGGCUGUGUCGUGUUCAUGGACCUUGGCAAGCCCAGCUUGGCAAGCCUUCUGCUAUAGCACACGGUUGGGCAGCCAUCACCAUCCCUGGCACGUGCUCCUGGCUCUGUCAUUUUCCAGUUGUGUGACCUUGGGCUGAUCCCUUAAUCUCUGUGGGCCUCAGGAGCUUCAUCUGGGACAAUAACACAGUGAGGUCCUAGAUGUGAAAUUCUAAGCAGUUUCUGGCAUUCGGUAGGAGGACUUUGCUCCUCCCUUUCCUCUGCCUAAGGAACCAAGCCCCAGCAGACAAACAGGUGCACAUCUUUCAUUAGAUUGUGAAUAAUCUUAAUCCUUACAUUUGUAAAGUUCCUUCCACAACCUUCCACAACUGAAACCUCUUCAGCAUCCCCUCGAAGGAGACUGGAGUCAGACCCCUCAGGUUCAAAUCCUGCCCCAUCACUUAGCAUCAUUGGGCAAGUCACUUUACAUUGCUGUGCCUCAGUUUCCUCAUCUUUAAAAGGUACAAGAAAGGCCAAUAGUGCAUAUUGAGUUUAUGGGCCCUGAAGCUUCUACAAUUUGGAAGGUCCUCUUUAGGAAUAGAAAAUCAGGUAUGAAAGCGAAUAUUUAAAGUGAGAAAACAUGGGGGGGUCUGGCUGACUCAGUCAGUAGGUAGAGCACGUGACUUUUGAUCUUGGGGUUUUAAGUUUGAGCCCCAUGUUGGGUGUAGAGAUUAUUUAAAAAUUAAAAAAAAAUCUUUAUUUUUUAAA